GAGAUAUUAAUGCUUAUUUUCAUCUUCACUUAUUUUUGUCCAAUCUUACAUAUUCGUCUCUAUCUGGAAAUAACAUGCCUGAGAACAUCUCUGUCAGUCUAAGAAUUCUGUGAGGCUGUUAGAGAUCGGUACUCUGAGAUGAUUGAUGGAUUGGUUGAUUCACAGAAAUAGAUUACAAUCCUUUAAGGCCGUCCAUUGCUUGACAACCAGCUGGAAGGAUCAAUUCCAGAAAAUAAUAAUAAUGCCCACGGUUUGAUCUUUGGUUGAAGCACAAUUCAAGAUGCUACUUCUGAACUUGAUUCACUUGGACUUGAAUAGGAACAAGCCUAUCAGGACAAUCACAAAAACUUAGAUUGUCUUUGCGUCUUACAAAUUUAGAUCUUUCACUAUCACAAUUAUCUCCUUGUUUCUAUUCCAUUUCCAGGGGCGUUGAAAAUGCAGAUGUGAAGACUGAAGAACAUCGAUCUUAGGUAACAGUUCCUAGAUGGAAUUUUCUUACACACGAAAAGCUACUGCAAAUGUAGACAUGCUUCAACUUUGGUAUUAUAGCCAAAAGAAGCCAACAGCAACAAGACCUUCAGGAGAAGACUGGUGCAAAUCAUUUUGUGCCAACUAGUGAAGAAGGCAGCCAUGGCCUUAAUUCGAUGGAUUGUUUUGUAAUUUUGGUUUUGGUGGAGAACAACUGGGUUUUGCCAGAGAAAUUGAAUGGAGGAAAAAGUUAACCUAAGUAAAUGAUUUUUGGCGAAGAACAAAUGGGUUGAUUUUGGUAAAGAAGCAGCCAGGUGAAGCUUAUUUCUGAGGGGCGGCUGGUACACGGGUGGUGUUAGUGGUCGACGGUGGGGCUUCGAUUUUGGAGAGGUAAAAGCGGCUAAGAGAUGAACUUUCUUUAUUUUUACACUUCUUGAAAUUAUUAAAAAUAUGAUAAAGUACAAUGUUCA
This 938-nucleotide long non-coding RNA is filed under the name Olea europaea subsp. europaea. Lineage: Eukaryota; Viridiplantae; Streptophyta; Magnoliopsida; Lamiales; Oleaceae. The record is from RNAcentral.